GAGAGGGCAGAACCGUAAUUUCAAAGACGAUUCGAAGAGCGUAGCUUCAGACAGUAAACAAGCAGCUCCAUGUCCCCUUCCAAGAAACAACACCGAACACAACAAACUCACAGUCUCUGCUUCAACAACCUCCGAUGUUCUCUACCUCGGAAACGUCGCCAAUUUCGUCAAACCGGAGUCUCCUGAGAUCUGUCCUCUCCCGCCAUUAUCCUCUCGCAGCUUCAAGCAACAAAGCUCCGAAGAAGAAGAAGACGACUUCUACUCGCCUCUCGCGUCUCAAGCUGGUAAAGAAUCACGAGAGCUGAGAAACUACUCUUCCUCGGAUUCUCCUGCCACGUCACCACCGUCCGUUGACAUAUCUCCGGUGAGGAGCAACAAAAGAAACCACGUGGCGUCGUCUCUGAGAACGUUCACCCUCUGGAACCAGAACCACGCCUUCCCACGCAUCUCCUCUGCUUCCACUUCACCUGAGAGAGGAGGAGGAGUAGGAGGCACGAUUCGAACCCCGGACGCUUACGCUCGCUCCUCCAUGUACUCUUCGGUCUCCACCACUCCUGAUCGUUUCUUCCGUAAGGUUCUCGAAGCCUCCUCCCCGCCGAGGUGGAACGACUUCAGCCGAAACGUCAAGUCUUUGUUCCUCUCUUCCGCUUCUUCUCCCGCUAGAGAUUUUUGCAUCGACAACGUCUCUGAAGCUUCUUCAAGAAAGUUGAAGUCUUCUUGGGAAAAACCAGAGCUUGAUAUUGAAUCAGCUGCUCCUCCUCCUCCGGAACGGCCACCGCCGCCUGCAAUGCCGGCGCCGCCUCCUCUUGUACCGCCGUCGCAGUCUUUUAUGGUUCACAAGUCUGGAAAGAAGCUGUCUUGGGAUGGAGCAACGAAGAUGAAGCCUCUGCCCUGGGAGAGGGUCCACCGACCGAGUUCUUGUCGGAAAAACACAUGGGAGAGUCUCAAGUUCAACUCUUUCAAUGCUAAUCCGAAGCAGAGAAGUCUUAGCUGUGAUCUUCCAAUGUUUAAUCAAGAAAGUAGAGUUUUGGAUCCUAGAAAGUCUCAGAGUAUUGCUUUUCUACUAUCAACACUUGAUCUCACCACAGAUGAUGUUCUUCAAGCCCUUCGAGAUGGUAAUAUCAUCAGUUACAAAGCUUAUUGUAUGAGUUGAAUCUGAGUUUGUAUUUUCUGAAUCAGGGCACUAUGAAGCGCUUGGAGUUGAGCUUCUUGAGAGUUUAUCAAGAGUGGCACCGAGUGAAGAGGAAGAGAGGAAGUUGAAGAGCUAUAGUGAUGACAAGCUUCCCCCUUCAGAGAAGUUUCUCAAGGAAUUGCUUAAUGUGCCUUUCGUGUUCAGAAGGGUUGAUGCAUUGCUCUUUGUUGCUACUUUUUAUUCCAAGGUUGAACAUUUAAAACAAUCAUUUGGCGUUAUACAGGUACUAUAAUAUAACAAAGCUAAAUUUAAUGAGAGAGACGUAUGAAUCUUGUGUCUCAUAAAGCUAUCUGAUUCUUUUGCAGGCUGCUUGUGAGGAGCUACGGAACAGCAGAAUGUUACUGAAGCUUAUUGAAGUUGUCUUAGAGACAGGAACGAAGAGCGUGAAUGCUCAAGACUUCAAACUUGAGGCGUUGUUAGAUGGUUCCACCACUCUCUUGCAUUCUGUUGUAGAGAACAUCAUAGAAUCAGAAGGUAUCAAAGUGUUGCAAGUUGUCAGACAUCUCGGUUUAGUACUUGUAGACGUCAAGAAAACUGCAGAAAUGGACUAUGGUGUUCUGAGAAGCGAGGUGGCAAAGCUUUAUCAAGGAGUCCAGAGCGUUAAGGAGGUUCUGCUACUGAGUGAUGAUGAAGAACAAGAAUGUGGGGAAUUCAAGGAGACGGUGACCAAGUUCUUGGAAACCGCUGUGAAGGAGGCUAAAAAGAUUGAAACAGAAGAUGGUUCCACGCUCUUAGCAGUGAAAGAGAUCACAGAGAUGUUCCAUGGAGAUUCAGCAAAGGAAGAAGCUCAGCUAUUGAGAGUGUUUGUGAUUGUUAGAGACUUUAUGUCCAUUCUAGAUAAAGUGUGCAAGGAAAUGGAGGUUGAGUAGAGAAAGAGAGUACUCUGGUUUAGGUUUCAAGUGUAAGGAAGAUCCUAGAAUCUGUCCAAAGACUGAUGAUGAUGCAUUGUGUUGCCUCCUUAAUUAGUUAUGUGUACUUAUGUUUGUAUGAAUCAUUGGAACUAUGACUUCUUAAAUGAAGUUUUUACUUGAUUUCUGUAUCAAAGCAAAUCAAAUGUAUAAUCUCAAUCAAUGUUCAAAAAAUCGCUAGACGGUGAUUAUGCAUUUCAUAGAAGAUUACUGAUUAAGCGAGCGCUUAGACUUUUAGAACACUGAUCUCAGUGGAUAUACUUCCAUAAUACAAGCAAGGAAGAUAAACAUAGUUCAAGAGUUGUAGGUUAUUAUACCAAACCAAAUCUACCAUCAAUCAAUUUAAACAAAAUGUUAUAAACAUGGGAAAAGGCUGUCUACUUUAGUGAUUCUAAGACUAUAUGCUUGCAACUCUGAACAUAUGAGUGUUCUUGUGUAUCUGUCAACGGAACCUAAACUAUUCAUAUCAAUCUGGAGAAACAAAGCUACACUCCCUCUAAAUACCGUCAAGGAUUCCAUCAAUCGCUUGGAAGAUCUUAGAGGCCACAGUCUCAUCGUCUGUUGUAAUAGCAGUACCCAUCUCUGAGGUCUCUAUCAUUCCACCGCUAGGAUUUGUUAUAUAGAUAAUACUCUUGCCUUCUGCUCCAUUCUCACCUCUCCUGUGUUCUAUCGAUCCGAUUACACUCAUCUUCAUUAACGCAUCCAAAAGUGUUUCAGGAGCCACAGUGCCCCAAUGCCUCAAUGACCGAGUCUUUCCUGAACUUCCUUCCUGAUCCAACCCGGAAACCAAUCUAUGUUUCCCAUUUUCCAUCACAAAGUCACCUUUUAACCUCGCAAUACCAAAGUUUUCACGCUGUCUGAGUUUCUUCCAGCUCAGUUUGGUGGCUAACUCUGCCAUUAUCUCUACGUCUGCAUUCUCUGCAAUUCUUCCCACACUUAGCAUCUUGUUCUCGGAGUAACUCAGGAUAGAUUUUGUCUUCACCGUAGAAAGGUUGAUCCUCUGGUUGACAACAUCAGGGACCUGUUUACAAAAUGCCAUCAGACUGAUGAAUACAGACAGAGUCAACAAAGCAUAGGAAUUGAAUCGUUACCAAAACAAUCUUUGGCUUCAAAAGGGAAAGAAGUGUUGGGAACUUCUGCAACCUGCAAAAUAACUUAAUAGUAUUGAGCAAUGCUGACAAGCAAGUUUACAGACAGGCAAGAUCUUACCUAAUUCCAGAAAGAAAUGAACAUUGGAGAAUCUUCAUAGCGAUUGGUCUGAAGGGGAGAAGUCCUAAACCUGAACUGAUACCGUCCUGCAACAAUAUUUUCUCAUCAGAUAUAUUGACUAAAGAUUCACAUUGGAUCAUCUUAUUGAGGAAGAGAGAAAUAGAUUUAAAAAACCUCAAGAACAAGCAGUGAUUUAGGAUCUCCACGCCAAUGCUGAAGAAGUUGGACAGAAGGACCAAGCCGCAAACUCCAGUGAGGAGCAAACACGAUGCAUGGUUCUUGCCAACUUGUUCUGUUUUGCCAUAAACGUAAAUAAUAGUUAUACUUUACUUUGUAUCUGAACUAGGCAAUGGCUUAUGGUGAACCAAGAUGAUAUUUUCAGUUACAAAUUAGCAUAUGAAACAUUGCAUGUAGGCCUAAGAAUAUGAAAACCAAUACUAGGAAACAACAAAGUCUUACAUUAAGUUGGGUGAGUGAAUGGCAGGAAACAAAUGGAUCUUCUUGUCUUUGAUGAAUUUAAGAUGAUCAAAUGAAGGUUCUCCUGAAAUUAACUGUGACAUGGAUCAAAACAUUAUAUAAAAUCUACUAUUUGAUUCAUCAUUUAAAUAAACAAGUCAGAUAAGUAUAUAUACCUUCUCCUGUCGUUGCUCGCACAGCCACUCUGGUAUGGUGUUUGCGUAUGCCAAUAGCUCUUCUGCCACAGAAGAUAUUACAAAUAUUGGAACCUAAGCAAAUAACAAUGUCAAAUAAGAACUUUUACCAUUUUAAAUGUGAUUCAUAUCCUCAAAAAGUUAAAAGAGCAGAAUAAAAAGAAAAAGGUAAAUCAAACCUUAAGAGAAGAGGACUCAAUAGAGUUUGACAUUAGCUCUAAGAGCUGCAGAACUAUCCCCACUCGAGUAAUCGUUAUUAAGGUUGAACCACCAGCAUCCGCAGAUUCUGCAGCACAUAAGCAGACAAAAGCUAGCUUCUCUAGCUCUCCUAAGCUUUCUUCAUUGUCUAGUAACGAAGCAGUCAAUCUCUCGUCAUUAUUCUCACUGCAGUAAAGAAAACGUCAUCGACUCAUAAGACCCAAACAAACAACAUCAUAUCAUAAAUGUAGUAAGAGAGUCUUAUAUGAAUGUAUGUACCUGAUUGUUGAUAUACAAUCACUAUCAGUCAUUUCUGCGGAUUGGAGGCAUGAGAAACCAGAGUAAAUCAUCACAUCGGUUCCUUUGAGACCAUGGAAGUCGAAAUUUUUCGAAUGAUGUGAAACGAAGAUGGAGUCUGACACAUAACUUAAACUUCCAUUAGGGCCAUUGAUCAACCAAUUGCAAGCCCCAAUAUCUAGACCUGAACUUAGAGCCUUAAUGAUCAACGUCCCAUUAUAACAAACUUCUUCUGCAAACUUUACAUCUUGAACCUUCUUCAUGCAAUUCUUUACGUCAUCUAAACUGAAGAAAAGAAUGAAUUAACGAAGCAAUCAACACUAUAGAGAAGCCAAUAACAAUUACCUGUAUAGACGCAUCCAACUGCCUAGAUCAUCACCAUUCUCACCAAAGACGAGAUUCUUGAGCACACUUGGUACUUGUUCACCAUCUAAAUUCUUUGUCCACCAAGGAAAGCUGGAGUCCUCAGGUCCGUGUAAGCGUCUGAACUCCAUGUGCAUAGAGACAAGAUCUUCCAUCAUGAGCUGACCAAUCUUAGCCGUUGCUUCAGUCAUAUAAAUCUACAUCUUAAGAACUCAGCACAAGGCACACCCCAAAGCAGAACAAGUUACAUGCAUGAAAACGUUUUACCUUGGCGCAGAAUCUUGGGUUUUGAGUAAGGAAUGGCAAUCCAAGCAAUCCCAUAGGGUUGGAGAUGAGAACUAUAUCAAUUAAAGAAACCUCCCACAAAUGCAAGGUCUUCACAGUUUUGUACCACGGCUCUGCGGACACCAAGUCAUCAGGAGUCAUCUGUCUCUCCAGUUUCUGCUUCUUUUGAAUUGAACUCUGAUCAUUCUGACCAUAAGCUUCAAUACCCACAUCACAUGGAACAGGAGAGAAGAUUGUGAUUGCUAAAAGGUCCAAAGGGCAGUCGAUCAAGAUCCUGAAACCGCUUAGGUUCAGCAUGUGGCAAGGUGGGUAGUGAAAGCCAUCUCCUUUGCUCAGACAAGUCUACAAUACACACACACACGCAAAGCUUUCGUAUUUACCCAACAAUUCAGACAAAAGGUGUAGACUUUUACAUUAAAGUUAUGCAAUAAACAAGAGAAACUCACCAAGUCCAUGGAGAUAAAUAAAACAACAGUAGAAUCUGUCGGAAGCUAAUAUCGUAAGCACUUCUAUACGAAUUGUCUCCAAAGGAAAGAGAAGAACAUCAAAGAGGUUCAAAGUCAGAGCUUUUCUAGAGGAUAAAGUGGCGGCGGUUAGUUAAUGGAAGGCGGAGAUGGAGGUUGAAGCGGCGGGUUUAUUUCGAAUAGGUUCGGUUCGGUUCGGUUCGGUUUAUAUAAAACUAAUUUCGAUUUAAUUUUCUGGUUUCGGGUUUAUUUACGGUUGGUUCGGUUUAUAUUGACUAGAUUCGGUUCGGUUUAAUUGCUUUGAUUUCGUAGAGACGGUUUAAAUUCUCUGAUUAUGUUCGGUUCGGUUUAUAUUAACUAAAUUCGAUUUGGAUUCUCUGGUUCGGUUCGGUUUAGUUGCUUUUGAUUUCGUAGCGACGGUGUUGCUGAUCAUUUGCUUCCUCCGAUGGAUUCAGCUGGAGAGGUCGUCAACGACGGCAAAAUCACUCUCGAGGGUUUCACCGUAGCUGCUCGAGCUUUCGCCGAUAAAUGGAAAAGACAUAACCUUUCGUUCCCUCCAUGGUCAUGGAUUCCUCUGAUCAACCGAACGAUGCUAAAGGUCAACGUCGAUCAAUACUAGCCUCCAUUAUCAAGACACCGUUUUUACAUUAGAUUCGUAUUUGUUGUGUUAUCAGAAGGAGGAAGGUUACUUAUCGCUAGAGAAAAUCAUCAUUCUCAGCUCACUUGAGGUAAAGUCACAACCUUUCAUCUUCUUCCUUCGUUUAUAGGACUGUUCGUUUGGUUGCCGCAAGUACCGGCGGCAGCGGCAGCGUCAACAUUCUGCGUCAAACUCUUGUUCGUUUCGUUGACGCAGGAACCAACGGCAGCGGCAGCGGCAGCGUCCGAACGCUGCGUCCUGCGGCUGACGCCGAUAAAACCGGCGGUCGCGAUAUGAUAUGCGGCAGCGUCAGCGUCUGCGAAACGAACAACAAUUUUCUGAAUCAGGGCACUAUGAAGCGCUUGGAGUUGAGCUUCUUGAGAGUUUAUCAAGAGUGGCACCGAGUGAAGAGGAAGAGAGGAAGUUGAAGAGCUAUAGUGAUGACAAGCUUCCCCCUUCAGAGAAGUUUCUCAAGGAAUUGCUUAAUGUGCCUUUCGUGUUCAGAAGGGUUGAUGCAUUGCUCUUUGUUGCUACUUUUUAUUCCAAGGUUGAACAUUUAAAACAAUCAUUUGGCGUUAUACAGGUACUAUAAUAUAACAAAGCUAAAUUUAAUGAGAGAGACGUAUGAAUCUUGUGUCUCAUAAAGCUAUCUGAUUCUUUUGCAGGCUGCUUGUGAGGAGCUACGGAACAGCAGAAUGUUACUGAAGCUUAUUGAAGUUGUCUUAGAGACAGGAACGAAGAGCGUGAAUGCUCAAGACUUCAAACUUGAGGCGUUGUUAGAUGGUUCCACCACUCUCUUGCAUUCUGUUGUAGAGAACAUCAUAGAAUCAGAAGGUAUCAAAGUGUUGCAAGUUGUCAGACAUCUCGGUUUAGUACUUGUAGACGUCAAGAAAACUGCAGAAAUGGACUAUGGUGUUCUGAGAAGCGAGGUGGCAAAGCUUUAUCAAGGAGUCCAGAGCGUUAAGGAGGUUCUGCUACUGAGUGAUGAUGAAGAACAAGAAUGUGGGGAAUUCAAGGAGACGGUGACCAAGUUCUUGGAAACCGCUGUGAAGGAGGCUAAAAAGAUUGAAACAGAAGAUGGUUCCACGCUCUUAGCAGUGAAAGAGAUCACAGAGAUGUUCCAUGGAGAUUCAGCAAAGGAAGAAGCUCAGCUAUUGAGAGUGUUUGUGAUUGUUAGAGACUUUAUGUCCAUUCUAGAUAAAGUGUGCAAGGAAAUGGAGGUUGAGUAGAGAAAGAGAGUACUCUGGUUUAGGUUUCAAGUGUAAGGAAGAUCCUAGAAUCUGUCCAAAGACUGAUGAUGAUGCAUUGUGUUGCCUCCUUAAUUAGUUAUGUGUACUUAUGUUUGUAUGAAUCAUUGGAACUAUGACUUCUUAAAUGAAGUUUUUACUUGAUUUCUGUAUCAAAGCAAAUCAAAUGUAUAAUCUCAAUCAAUGUUCAAAAAAUCGCUAGACGGUGAUUAUGCAUUUCAUAGAAGAUUACUGAUUAAGCGAGCGCUUAGACUUUUAGAACACUGAUCUCAGUGGAUAUACUUCCAUAAUACAAGCAAGGAAGAUAAACAUAGUUCAAGAGUUGUAGGUUAUUAUACCAAACCAAAUCUACCAUCAAUCAAUUUAAACAAAAUGUUAUAAACAUGGGAAAAGGCUGUCUACUUUAGUGAUUCUAAGACUAUAUGCUUGCAACUCUGAACAUAUGAGUGUGACGCCUCUCCCGCCCUCCGCCCCAACUUACGCCACUUUUCCGGCGAACAUCUCCGCCCUCGUCCUCCCUCGCUCCUCAAAACCUCACACCGCUUCAAGAACUCUCCUCAUCACACUUAUCUCCGCUGUCCUCGCCGUCGCAACAGCCAUCGGAGUAGCCUUGUUUCUCUACGGAAGGUGGAGAGGGCAGAACCGUAAUUUCAAAGACGAUUCGAAGAGCGUAGCUUCAGACAGUAAACAAGCAGCUCCAUGUCCCCUUCCAAGAAACAACACCGAACACAACAAACUCACAGUCUCUGCUUCAACAACCUCCGAUGUUCUCUACCUCGGAAACGUCGCCAAUUUCGUCAAACCGGAGUCUCCUGAGAUCUGUCCUCUCCCGCCAUUAUCCUCUCGCAGCUUCAAGCAACAAAGCUCCGAAGAAGAAGAAGACGACUUCUACUCGCCUCUCGCGUCUCAAGC
This 8362-nucleotide long non-coding RNA is filed under the name Brassica napus (rape). Its description in RNAcentral is "long non-coding RNA (BNAP_LNC018006)". Lineage: Eukaryota; Viridiplantae; Streptophyta; Magnoliopsida; Brassicales; Brassicaceae. The record is from RNAcentral.